GGAAUUCUGUCGUCUGGGAACGGCUGGUUUCGCGGUCAGACGCCGAGGGCCCUCGAAGUCCCUAGCAACGGCUGCGGAGAGAGAUUCCACCUAGGUCCGUGCAGGUUACAAAUGGCAACCAGAACAGGGACUCCAAGCACGCCCAACUAGCAGCAUCCAAUCAUGGGACUUCAAAGACGUGAAUGAAGAAGGUCUGCUGGAGCAGAGGAACUGAAACUGACUAGGCGAAAGGGGACCCGGGGAAGAGUCUGCCGGCAGCAGAUAUAAGUCUGUAAAAUCGGAUGGACCGCCAAUCGGAGAAUGAGAGCUGCCCAGCCUGGUCUUACAUUCUUUCAAUUAAUACAUAAACAGAAAGGGGGAUAUGCAGGGAGCCGAAGGCCCAUGGGACGUGACCAACUCAGCAUUCCACUGGAGGCUAUAUGAUCAAACAGCAAACUGUUUAUCAUGAAUACAGGAUGUGGGCAAACUCAGGACUGCUCCUGCCAACAUAAGGUUUGCUGGAGGCAAUCACUCCCUGGCACGGAGGUUAUCUACUGCGACAUCUAGAGAAUGCAGUCCUGCAAGCCUACUCUGAACUGAGCAGCUGACCCCUUCUUCCACCCCCCCCCACCCUCCUAUCUCUUUUGCCUAAUAAAUACGGAGGGCUGUGUAAAGCUCAGGGCCCUUGUCCACUAGAGGCAAGGUGCUCCCUGACCCCUUCUCCCAAAUAUACUCUUUUGUCUCCUGUCUUUAUUCCCACGUUCACCCCCAUUUGUGCAGUCCCAUAGGUCCAUGUGGGUUACGGCCCGCCACCACGCCUGGCUAAUUUUUGUAUUUUUAGUAGAGAUCGGAUUUCACCAUCUUGGUCAGGCUGGCCUUGAACUCCUGAUCUCAUCACACACCCGCCUCAGCCUCCCCACAUGCGGUUAUUAUAGUUGAUA
Molecule: long non-coding RNA, 920 nt
Filed under: Pan troglodytes (chimpanzee)
Lineage: Eukaryota; Metazoa; Chordata; Mammalia; Primates; Hominidae
Description: long non-coding RNA NONPTRT008202
Source: RNAcentral